UUUGCCCGCGGCCUAUUUUUGGCACAUGGCGGCCCCUAGCAAUGUCUCGCGGCAUUCCGAGUCCGGCGGACGAAGUUGGCCAGCAUCAACCCCCAAGGCUAUAGCCCACCCGUUUUUGUGGCCUUUUUCCGCUGGACGAACUUGGUGCCCCGGCCUUCGGGCGGUUACAUUUAGGCGCGGCUUUUCCCGCGGCCUAUUUUUGGCACGCGGAGGCCCCUCGCAAAGUCUCACGGCAUUCCGAGUCCGGCGGACGAAGUUGGCCAGCAUCACCCCCCAAGGCUAUAGCCCACCCGUUUUUGUGGCCUUUUUCCGCUGGACGAACUUGGCGCCCCGGCCUUCGGGCGGUUAAUUUUGGGCGUGGCUUUGCCCGCGGCCUAUUUUUGGCACACGGCGGCCCCUAGCAAUGUCUCGCGGCAUUCCGAGUCCGGCGGACGAAGUUGGCCAGCAUCAACCCCCAAGGCUAUAGCCCACCCGUUUUUGUGGCCUUUUUCCGCUGGACGAACUUGGCGCCCUGGCCGUCGGGCGGUUAUUUUUGGGCGCGGCUUUGCCCGCGUCCUAUUUUUGGCACACGGAGGCCCCUCGCAAAGUCUCGCGGCAUUCCGAGUCCGGCGGACGAAGUUGGCCAGCCCCACCCCCAAAGGCUAUAGCCCACCCGUUUUUGUGGUCUUUUUCCGCUGGACGAACUUGGCGCCCCGGAACUUGCUGCUGCUACCUAUCUAUAAAAUCACUACAAAAUUUUAUCACUAUAUAACAUAAAAUUUUGAACCACGAACCUUUUAAACAUUCCAUGGCGUAUUUUUGGCACACGGGGGCCCCUCGCAAAGUCUCGCGGCAUUCCGAGUCCGGCGGACGAAGUUGGCCAGCCCCACCCCCCAAGGCUAUAGCCCACCCGUUUUUGUGGCCUUUUUCCGCUGGAAGAACUUGGCGCCCCGGCCUUCGGGCGGUUAACCAUGGGCGCGGCUUUGCCCGUGGCCUAUUGUUGUCACACGGAGGCCCCUCGUAAAGUCUCGCGGCAUUCCGAGUCCGGCGGACGAAGUUGGCCAGCCCCACCCCCCAAGGCUAUAGCCCACCUGUUUUUGUGGCCUUUUUCCGCUGGACGAACUUGGCGCACCGGCCGUCGGGCGGUUAUUUUUAGGCGCGGUUUUGCCCGCGGCCUAUUUUUGGCACACGGAGGCCCCUCGCAAAGUCUCGCGGCAUUCCGAGUCCGGCGGACGAAGUUGGCCAGCCCCACCCCCAAAAGCUAUAGCCCACCCGUUUUUGUGGCCUUUUUCCGCUGGACGAACUUGGCGCCCCGGCCUUCGGGCGGUUAUUUUUGGGCGCGGCUUUGCCCACGGCCUAUUUUUGGCACACAGAGGCCCCUCGCAAAGUCUCGCGGCAUUCCGACUCCGGCGGACGAAGUUGGCCAGCCCCACCCCCCAAGGCUANNNNNNNNNNNNNNNNNNNNNNNNNNNNNNNNNNNNNNNNNNNNNNNNNNNNNNNNNNNNNNNNNNNNNNNNNNNNNNNNNNNNNNNNNNNNNNNNNNNNCGCGGCCUAGCGACCGCACCGAUCCGAGGCCCCUCGCAAAGCCUCGCGGCAUUCCGAGUCUGGCGGACGAAGUUGGCCAGCCCCACCCCCCAAGGCUACAGCCCACCCGUUUUUGUGGCCUGUUUCAGCUGGACGAACUUGGCGCCCCGGCCGUCGGGCGGUUAUUUUUGGGCGCGGCUUUGUCCAUGGCCUAUAUUUGGCACACGGCGGUCUUUCAAUAAGUCUCGCGGCAUUCCGAGUCCGGCGGAUGAAGUUGGCCAGCCCCACCCCCCAAGGCUAUAGCCCGCCCGUUUUUGUGGCCUUUUUCCGCUGGACGAAGUUGGCGCCCCGGCCUUCGGGCGGUUAUUUUUGGGCGCGGCUUUGCCCGCGGCCUAUUUUUGGCACACGGAGGCCCCUCGCAAAGUCUCGCGGCAUUCCGACUGCAGCGGACGAAGUUGGCCAUCCCCACCCCCCAAGGCUAUAGCCCACCCGUUUUUGUGGCCUUUUUCCGCUGGACGAACUUGGUGCCCCGGCCUUCGGGCGGUUAAUUUUGGGCGUGGCUUUGCCCGCGGCCUAUUUUUGGCACAUGGCGGCCCCUAGCAAUGUCUCGCGGCAUUCCGAGUCCGGCGGACGAAGUUGGCCAGCAUCAACCCCCAAGGCUAUAGCCCACCCGUUUUUGUGGCCUUUUUCCGCUGGACGAACUUGGUGCCCCGGCCUUCGGGCGGUUACAUUUAGGCGCGGCUUUUCCCGCGGCCUAUUUUUGGCACGCGGAGGCCCCUCGCAAAGUCUCACGGCAUUCCGAGUCCGGCGGACGAAGUUGGCCAGCAUCACCCCCCAAGGCUAUAGCCCACCCGUUUUUGUGGCCUUUUUCCGCUGGACGAACUUGGCGCCCCGGCCUUCGGGCGGUUAUUUUUGGGCGCGGCUUUGCCCGCGGCCUAUUUUUGGCACACGGCGGGCCCUAGCAAUGUCUCGCGGCAUUCCGAGUCCGGCGGACGAAGUUGGCCAGCAUCAACCCCCAAGGCUAUAGCCCACCCGUUUUUGUGGCCUUUUUCCGCUGGACGAACUUGGCGCCCCGGCCUUCGGGCGGUUACAUUUAGGCGCGGCUUUGUCCGCGGCCUAUUUUUGGCACGCGGAGGCCCCUCGCAAAGUCUCGCGGCAUUCCGAGUUCGGCGGACGAAGUCGGCCAGCCCCACCCCCCAAGGCUAUAGCCCACCCGUUUUUGUGGCCUUUUUCCGCUGGACGAACUUGGCGCCCCGGCCGUCGGGGGGUUAUUUUUGGGCGCGGCUUUGCCCGCGGCCUAUUUUUGGCACACGGAGGCCCCUCGCAAAGUAUAGCGGCAUUCCGAGUCCGGCGGACGAAGUUGGCCAGCAUCACCCCCCAAGGCUAUAGCCCACCCGUUUUUGUGCCCUUUUUCCGCUGGAUGGCCUUGGCGCCCCGGCCUUCAGGCGGUUAUUUUUGGGCGCGGCUUUGCCCGCGGCCUGUUUUUGGCACACGGAGGCCCCUCGCAAAGUCUCGCGGCAUUCCGAGUGCGGCGGAUGAAGUUGGCCAGCCCCACCCCCCAAGGCUAUAGCCCACCUGUUUAUCUGGCCUUUUUCCGCUGGACGAACUUGGC
Molecule: long non-coding RNA, 3115 nt
Filed under: Citrus x clementina
Lineage: Eukaryota; Viridiplantae; Streptophyta; Magnoliopsida; Sapindales; Rutaceae
Description: Citrus clementina (C. clementina) long non-coding RNA (CCLE_LNC005846)
Source: RNAcentral